GACGAACGCUGGCGGCGUGCUUAACACAUGCAAGUCGAACGGAAAGGCCCUGCUUUUGUGGGGUGCUCGAGUGGCGAACGGGUGAGUAACACGUGAGUAACCUGCCCUUGACUUUGGGAUAACUUCAGGAAACUGGGGCUAAUACCGGAUAGGAGCUCCUGCUGCAUUGUGGGGGUUGGAAAGUUUCGGCGGUUGGGGAUGGACUCGCGGCUUAUCAGCUUGUUGGUGGGGUAGUGGCUUACCAAGGCUUUGACGGGUAGCCGGCCUGAGAGGGUGACCGGCCACAUUGGGACUGAGAUACGGCACAGACUCCUACGGGAGGCAGCAGUGGGGAAUAUUGCACAAUGGGCGGAAGCCUGAUGCAGCAACGCCGCGUGCGGGAUGACGGCCUUCGGGUUGUAAACCGCUUUCGCCUGUGACGAAGCGUGAGUGACGGUAAUGGGUAAAGAAGCACCGGCUAACUACGUG
This 468-nucleotide ribosomal RNA is filed under the name uncultured bacterium. RNAcentral's name for it is "partial 16S ribosomal RNA". It matches the Rfam family "Bacterial small subunit ribosomal RNA", at positions 28 to 507 of the family's 1533-position model. The record is from RNAcentral.